Saccostrea cuccullata (small rock oyster) is the source of this 567-nucleotide long non-coding RNA. RefSeq lists it as uncharacterized. The transcript has 4 exons. The record is from RefSeq and is a predicted model, not a curated record. NCBI's taxonomy places the organism in Eukaryota, Metazoa, Mollusca, Bivalvia, Ostreida, Ostreidae.
AAAGCGGUUUUUACGGUACAAAUUGUACUCAUCUCUGUGGACAUUGUACAAAAAACGCAACAUGUGAUCACAUUAAUGGUUCCUGUCCAAACGGAUACUGUGAGCCAGGAUGGGAACAUACACCUGAAAAGAGAUGUGAUGAAGAAUGUGACAACGGUACAUUUGGAUUAUACUGUAAGCACAGUUGUAGUGGAAACUGCGCAGGUGGAUUACACUGCUCCAAAGUAAAUGGGUAUUGUUCACGAGGGUGUAAUGAUGGAUGGAUAAAGUUUUUUUGCAAUGAAACAUGCAACGACUAUUAUUAUGGAAAGAACUGUUCAAAUCCCUGUGGAAAGUGUGCAAAAUCCUCAAAAUGUGAUCACGUAGAUGGUUCCUGUCCUAAUGGAUACUGUGAAAAAGGAUGGAAAAAUACACCUGAUAAGAGAUGCAAUAUUGCAUGCAGUCACGGGCACUUUGGACAUAAUUGUCAAGAAAUAUGUGGUAAAUGUGAAAACAACAAAACAUGUGAUCACAUAAAUGGAUCCUGUCACGGAUUUUGUGAACCCGGAUAUCAGGGAGAAGAAUGUC